AUUGAACGCUGGCGGCAUGCCUUACACAUGCAAGUCGAACGGUAACGGGCCUUCGGGUGCCGACGAGUGGCGAACGGGUGAGUAAUACAUCGGAACGUGCCCGAUCGUGGGGGAUAACGAGGCGAAAGCUUUGCUAAUACCGCAUACGAUCUACGGACGAAAGCAGGGGACCGCAAGGCCUUGCGCGGACGGAGCGGCCGAUGGCAGAUUAGGUAGUUGGUGGGAUAAAAGCUUACCAAGCCGACGAUCUGUAGCUGGUCUGAGAGGAUGAUCAGCCACACUUGGACCGAGGCCAGGCCCAGACUCCUAAGGGAGGCAGCAGUGGGGAAUUUUGGACAAUGGGCGCAAGCCUGAUCCAGCCAUGCCGCGUGCAGGAUGAAGGCCUUCGGGUUGUAAACUGCUUUUGUACGGAACGAAAAGCCUUCUUUUAAUACAGGAGGGUCAUGACGGUACCGUAAGAAUAAGCACCGGCUAACUACGUG
This 482-nucleotide ribosomal RNA is filed under the name uncultured bacterium. Its description in RNAcentral is "partial 16S ribosomal RNA". It matches the Rfam family "Bacterial small subunit ribosomal RNA", at positions 30 to 507 of the family's 1533-position model. The record is from RNAcentral.